RNAcentral lists this unclassified non-coding RNA (141 nucleotides) under uncultured Cenococcum. RNAcentral describes it as "sequence contains ITS1". Lineage: Eukaryota; Fungi; Ascomycota; Dothideomycetes; Gloniales; Gloniaceae. The record is from RNAcentral.
CAGAAAGUAAACGCGGGUCAAACCGCGAAACUUUUAAACCUUUGGCGAUCGACUCGUGUUGCCUCGGCGGGCUCGCCCGCCAGAGGAUACAUCAAAACUCCUGUUUUAACGGUGUUGUCUGAGCUACAAAGCAACGAAUCA